This 551-nucleotide long non-coding RNA is filed under the name Canis lupus familiaris (dog). Its description in RNAcentral is "lncRNA (ENSCAFG00000040467.3)". The record is from RNAcentral. Lineage: Eukaryota; Metazoa; Chordata; Mammalia; Carnivora; Canidae.
AAUACGUCACAAUGGCAAGAUUCAUUGGCUUACUCUGCCACCACUAAAAUCUAUCCUUAUUUUCAGCUGAAUGCCUUGCUAUGCUGAUCGUUCACAUCCCUUUGCUCCAAGUUUCCUUGGACAACAUACUUGAUUCUGUUGUUUAAAAGUUGUCUGCUAUUGGACUUAAUGUUCAGCACCCCCUCUAGUGAGAUGACUUCUUACUGUUAGAGACCACCCACCUUCCUUCCCAUGCAAGUGUCCAAGCUGGAAGAAUUAGACAGUUGACUCUAGACCCUGGAUAUCUGUGUAUCCGAAUUGUACUUCAAGGUGUCAACAUAGAGAAAAAGAGGAGAGAAGUUAAUAGAAUUGUCUUGAUGAUUUAGGUCAAGACUAAUGACAAAAUUUUUAUGGUGAUGGCACUGUGCCAGAUGCCUGAUAUAUGGACAUUUUUAAAAGAGAAGUAUGGUCUAGUACAAGGUCAACAAACUUUUUCUGCCCAGGACCAGAUUUUGCAAAUCAAGAGAGUGUUUCAUGGUGAUCCUGGGACAAUAGCAUUGGACAUCACUUGA